Pelobates cultripes (western spadefoot toad) is the source of this 249-nucleotide non-coding RNA. The record is from the annotation of a GenBank genome assembly. NCBI's taxonomy places the organism in Eukaryota, Metazoa, Chordata, Amphibia, Anura, Pelobatidae.
CCUGUCUCUUGCCCUCUCCUAAAGGGCAGCCAACCUUAUUUGAUUGCAAAUUCCUGUCCUACUGUGUUUUACACCCCACCUCCUAUAGAAUGUAAGCUCGAUUGAGCAGGGUCCUCUUCAACCUAUUGUUCCUGUAAGUUUAUUUGUAAUUGUCCUAUUUAUAGUUAAAUCCCCUCACAUAAUAUUGUAAAGCGCUACGGAAUCUGUUGGCGCUAUAUAAAUGGCAAUAAUAAUAAUAAUAAUAAUAAU